GGGAACUGCGUUNUGAACUGGGUGACUAGAGUGUGUCAGAGGGAGGUAGAAUUCCACGUGUAGCAGUGAAAUGCGUAGAGAUGUGGAGGAAUACCGAUGGCGAAGGCAGCCUCCUGGGAUAACACUGACGUUCAUGCUNGAAAGCGUGGGUAGCAAACAGGAUUAGAUACCCUGGUAGUCCACGCCCUAAACGAUGUCAAUUAGCUGUUGGGCAACUUGAUUGCUUAGUAGCGUAGCUAACGCGUGAAAUUGACCGCCUGGGGAGUACGGUCGCAAGAUUAAAACUCAAAGGAAUUGACGGGGACCCGCACAAGCGGUGGAUGAUGUGGAUUAAUUCGAUGCAACGCGAAGAACCUUACCUGGUCUUGACAUGUACGGAAUCCUCCAGAGACGGAGGAGUGCCUUCGGGAGCCGUAACACAGGUGCUGCAUGGCUGUCGUCAGCUCGUGUCGUGAGAUGUUGGGUUAAGUCCCGCAACGAGCGCAACCCUUGUCAUUAGUUGCCAUCAUUUAGUUGGGCACUCUAAUGAGACUGCCGGUGACAAGCCGGAGGAAGGUGGGGAUGACGUCAAGUCCUCAUGGCCCUUAUGACCAGGGCUUCACACGUCAUACAAUGGUCGGUACAGAGGGUAGCCAAGCCGCGAGGUGGAGCCAAUCUCACAAAACCGAUCGUAGUCCGGAUUGCACUCUGCAACUCGAGUGCAUGAAGUCGGAAUCGCUAGUAAUCGCAGGUCAGCAUACUGCGGUGAAUACGUUCCCGGGUCUUGUACACACCGCCCGACACACCAUGGGAGUGGGGGAUACCAGAAGUAGGUAGGGUAACCGC
This 825-nucleotide ribosomal RNA is filed under the name uncultured bacterium. RNAcentral's name for it is "bacterial SSU rRNA". It matches the Rfam family "Bacterial small subunit ribosomal RNA", at positions 616 to 1442 of the family's 1533-position model. The record is from RNAcentral.